GCGAGAACUCCAGAGUUGGAACACACUCCGAAAGGGGCGCAUAGCAUUAAUAAUCCCAUCUCACCAUGGUUCAUCACCGCGUUAGCACCCCUGCGGGGAUCAUCUCGGAGGGGGCUCGCUUUUUCACACAAAACCCCCCUUUUAAAAGUGUAGAAUGACCUCAUUUAUGCGCUAACCCGCAAUCAAUACAACUUUCAACAACGGAUCUCUUGGCUCUCGCAUCGAUGAAGAACGCAGCGAAAUGCGAUACGUAAUGUGAAUUGCAGAAUUCAGUGAAUCAUCGAAUCUUUGAACGCACCUUGCGCCCCCUGGUAUUCCGAGGGGCACACCCGUUUGAGUGUCGUGAAAACCUCAACCUCCUUGGUUUCUUCUGGAGACCAAAGCAGGCUUGGACUUUGGAGGCCUUUGCUGGCACCUCUCGCCAGCUCCUCUUAAAUGAAUUAGCAGGGUCCUCUUUGCUGAUCCUCGACGUGUGAUAAGAUGUUUCCAUGUCUUGGUUUCUGGCUCUGUCACCUUUGGGACCCGCUUCUAACCGUCUUCAACCUUGCGUUGAGACAACGUUCGAGCAUGUCUCCCUUCUCGGGAAGCUCCCUCGACCCCACGAACCCUUGACCUCAAAUCGGGUGAGACUACCCGCUGAACUUAAGCAUAUCAAUAAGCGGAGA
Molecule: ribosomal RNA, 665 nt
Filed under: uncultured fungus
Lineage: Eukaryota; Fungi
Description: eukaryotic LSU rRNA
Rfam family: 5.8S ribosomal RNA (bases 190-343)
Source: RNAcentral